Candidatus Daviesbacteria bacterium is the source of this 117-nucleotide non-coding RNA. The record is from Rfam. Lineage: Bacteria; Candidatus Daviesiibacteriota.
CUCGGUGGUUUGAGCGAAGUGGUCCGACCUGAUCCCAUCCCGAACUCAGUCGUCAAACACUUCAGCGGGGACGAUAAUGCAUCCGCAAGGUUGUGUGAAAAUACCUCACUGCCGGAC